Molecule: transfer RNA, 77 nt
Filed under: Oscillospiraceae bacterium
Lineage: Bacteria; Bacillati; Bacillota; Clostridia; Eubacteriales; Oscillospiraceae
Also listed under: 2 other names
Description: tRNA-Arg
Rfam family: tRNA
About the family: Transfer RNA (tRNA) molecules are approximately 80 nucleotides in length. Their secondary structure includes four short double-helical elements and three loops (D, anti-codon, and T loops).
Source: RNAcentral
GCGCCACUAGCUCAGCUGGAUAGAGUGUUUGACUACGAAUCAAAAGGUCACAGGUUCGAGUCCUGUGUGGCGCGCCA